RNAcentral lists this ribosomal RNA (303 nucleotides) under uncultured bacterium. RNAcentral describes it as "bacterial SSU rRNA". It matches the Rfam family "Bacterial small subunit ribosomal RNA", at positions 47 to 346 of the family's 1533-position model. The record is from RNAcentral.
CCUAACACAUGCAAGUCGAACGGUAACAGGAAGCAGCUUGCUUCUUUGCUGACGAGUGGCGGACGGGUGAGUAAUGUCCGGGAAACUGCCUGAUGGAGGGGGAUAACUACUGGAAACGGUAGCUAAUACCGCAUAACGUCGCAAGACCAAAGAGGGGGACCUUCGGGCCUCUUGCCAUCAGAUGUGCCCAGAUGGGAUUAGCUAGUAGGUGGGGUAACGGCUCACCUAGGCGACGAUCCCUAGCUGGUCUGAGAGGAUGACCAGCCACACUGGAACUGAGACACGGUCCAGACUCCUACGGGA